CCUUAUUCAGAGUAGCGGAGGGAACAGGCCCUGUGAAGCUCGGCAACCUGCCGGAAGGAGCGCGACGCGCCACCGACUGUGCAAGGUGCCAAAUCCUGCGGUGUCGACCGAAAGAUAAGG
RNAcentral lists this non-coding RNA (120 nucleotides) under bovine gut metagenome. RNAcentral describes it as "SAM riboswitch (S box leader)". It matches the Rfam family "SAM riboswitch aptamer (S box leader)". From Rfam's summary of the family: The SAM riboswitch is found upstream of a number of genes which code for proteins involved in methionine or cysteine biosynthesis in Gram-positive bacteria. The SAM riboswitch acts at the level of transcription termination control. The record is from RNAcentral.